UACGUAGGGUGCAAGCGUUAAUCGGAAUUACUGGGCGUAAAGCGUGCGCAGGCGGUUUUGUAAGUCUGACGUGAAAUCCCCGGGCUUAACCUGGGAAUUGCGUUGGAGACUGCAAGGCUGGAGUCUGGCAGAGGGGGGUAGAAUUCCACGUGUAGCAGUGAAAUGCGUAGAGAUGUGGAGGAACACCGAUGGCGAAGGCAGCCCCCUGGGUCAAGACUGACGCUCAUGCACGAAAGGCGUGGGGAGCAAACAGG
RNAcentral lists this ribosomal RNA (254 nucleotides) under uncultured bacterium. Its description in RNAcentral is "partial 16S ribosomal RNA". It matches the Rfam family "Bacterial small subunit ribosomal RNA", at positions 524 to 776 of the family's 1533-position model. The record is from RNAcentral.